UCUGGGGCGAAAAUUUAUUGUUGAAGUUUGUAAGGAGCGUCCUGUGUUUUCCCUUUAAGACACUGCUCAUAAUGACAAAUGCGUCUAGCAAUAAUGAGAUGAGCAUAACAGUUGUGAUGCCUUAGAUGUCCUGGGCUGCACGCGCGUACAAUGAAAGUAUCAACGUGUAUUCCUAGACCGAGAGGUCCGGGUAAACCGCUGAACCACUUUCAUGCUUGGGAUUGUGAACUGAAACUGUUCACAUGAACUUGGAAUUCCCAGUAAGUGUGAGUCAUUAACUCGCAUUGAUUACGUCCCUGCCCUUUGUACACACCGCCCGUCGCUACUACCGAUUGAAUUAUUUAGUGAGGUCUCCGGACGUGAUCACUGUGACGCCUUGCGUGUUACGGUUGUUUCGCAAAAGUUGACCGAACUUGAUUAUUUAGAGGAAGUAAAAGUCGUAACAAGGUUUCCGUAGGUGAACCUGCGGAAGGAUCAUUA
Molecule: non-coding RNA, 480 nt
Filed under: Drosophila simulans
Lineage: Eukaryota; Metazoa; Arthropoda; Insecta; Diptera; Drosophilidae
Description: Eukaryotic small subunit ribosomal RNA
Rfam family: Eukaryotic small subunit ribosomal RNA
Source: Rfam by way of RNAcentral